Molecule: non-coding RNA, 642 nt
Organism: Equus caballus (horse)
Lineage: Eukaryota; Metazoa; Chordata; Mammalia; Perissodactyla; Equidae
Source: RefSeq, a predicted model, not a curated record
UAGGAGGAAGAAGUCCUGUGACUGCAAAACGCAGGAUCUCAACAGCUACAACCUCCAGCCUCAUUGCUCUUUCGUUUUCUUCUAUCUCAGGAACAUCAUUUUCUGUUUUUCCUGUAAAGCAAGGAUGCCCUCAGAGGACGUUAGAGUCCCAUUUGUCUCCACUGCAAAUGGCCCCAGGAUGCUGUUCUUUCUUGAUGCUCCUGUGGCAUCGUUCACUACCAACUCUGGCAAUUCUUAAGCAAAUACUUAACUUCUCUCAGAUCAAGUUUUUCAUCUGUAAAAUAUGGAUAAUUAUAUCUAUUUAUGGGGCAACUUGUGAAGAUAAAAGAAAAUUAUAUAAAAGAAGGCACUCAAAAAAUGGUAAAGUACUACUACUAAAAGCACUGUGAUGAUUUCCACAAAGAGAACACAAAUGAUAAAUAAUUAGACUGACAUCAAGAAUUUAUUUUUGAACAGAAUCUUCCAAGAUAUACCAUAUGGCCAAUACUAGUUUAUCCAAUCUAAAAUACAUCCUACUCCUGUAGGCCUAUAAAAUGGUCACUGAUGCCCUUUAUGGUGAUUCAGGGAAGCUGAAAAAUUCUGGAACAUCUUGUAUCUCAGCCAAGGAAGAGCCCACUGAGAGGUUUCAAAUUUUUGGAGCUG